This 84-nucleotide transfer RNA is filed under the name Deltaproteobacteria bacterium CG2_30_63_29. RNAcentral describes it as "tRNA-Leu". It matches the Rfam family "tRNA". Rfam says of the family: Transfer RNA (tRNA) molecules are approximately 80 nucleotides in length. Their secondary structure includes four short double-helical elements and three loops (D, anti-codon, and T loops). Lineage: Bacteria; Deltaproteobacteria. RNAcentral also lists the same sequence under 1 other name. The record is from RNAcentral.
GCCGGAGUGGCGGAACAGGUAGACGCGCCAGACUCAAAAUCUGGUGGGGGUGACCUCGUGUCGGUUCGAUUCCGACCUCCGGUA